Brassica oleracea var. oleracea is the source of this 1475-nucleotide long non-coding RNA. RefSeq lists it as uncharacterized. Lineage: Eukaryota; Viridiplantae; Streptophyta; Magnoliopsida; Brassicales; Brassicaceae. The transcript has 5 exons. The record is from RefSeq and is a predicted model, not a curated record.
AUGGGCUUCAGCAAGGCAUCUCGUGACUCCUCAUGUCAUCUCUGUGGCGGCUCCGCGAUUGCCUCCCUCCGUUGCCGAGACCAAGCUUCCUUCGCGACCGUAAGCCACGUUAUCUCCUAGCUCUCAAAGUCGUCGAUCUCACUUCCAAUUGCAGAAGAUCUCAAGCCGCGGCAGCCAAUCUCACUUCUAUUUUCGUCUGAAGGGUUGAUGGUUGACCGUCUCCGACUCUUCACUUCGUCGUCACCAUUUUGACUCUCUAUAAUUCGUCGUUACCGCGACCCACUUUGAUUAAUCAAUUAUCUUCUUUACUCCUUUCGUCUCCUUUUAUAUCAGAAUUAUGCUUUAUGGUUUGAAUCCAGUGGUUUAUUAUUUUUAUUUUUGUUUGUAAUUGUUUUCAGGAACCACUCAUUCCAGCCAGAAACAUCCGGAUACUCUGUUCACGUAGCUAUGUUCACAAGAAGUUGCUUAGCAGAGGAUGAUACUCUGAUCACGCAGCUAUUCGUAAAACGGAGAUAGUGAAAUUGAGGAGACAAUCAGAGAGAUGGAAGCAACAGAGAUGGAAGCAAUGAUGAAAUGAAAUAAUUUGAGCAAAAGGAUGCCGAGAAACAGCUGUGAAAUCGUUGCAGAGUAGACGACCAUAAUGCAAGAAGCUAUAUAACUUAAAGGAAACAAAAAAAUGUUUUACAUUUUUUUUAGGAUAAAUGGUCAUCCGUUUGAUGCAGAAAUGUUCUACUUGAGGCAUGUAUGCACAAAGUGACAGAAGAGUCAGAAAAACGUGGAGCAGUUUGGUCUGAAAAGUGGCCAGAGUAGAGAUUGUUCAUCAGUGGGUUGAAGACACAUAUGGAAAUCAGCACAAGAGGAUUUCACAGCAGACAUGAUUGUUUAAAAACUAUUGUUUCAGUCAUACUUCAAGGGUGUAGGAAUUGAUUGGUGGUAUGUGAGAAACGUUAUGGAUUGAGAGCUAUAUAUGGAGGUUUUAUUGCUGCAUUGAAGGAUCUGAGACAGUGAGACUCUGUGUGAUUAAUGUACUUUCCUCAAACUUACGACCUUCAUGAUGAUUCAUCAAUUCUCUGCACUGAAGAAGAGGUGCAGCUUGGUGUCUGUAAUGGUUGAAGUGGACCGAAUUCUUAGACCACAAGGAACAUUUAUAGUAAAUGAUGGCAUGGAAAAGAUAGGAGAAAUUGAGAAGAUGAUGGAAUCACUGAAAUGGAAUGUAAGAAUGACACAUUCCAGAUAUGGAGAAGGAGUGAUCUCUGUUCAGAAGUCAUGGUGGCGUCCAACAGAGGUCAAGACCAUUACAUCGGCCAUAGCAAGUGAAAGAGAAUUGGUUUAAUAUAGUUUAAUGAGAAUGUUUCUUUUAUGAUCACGUUGAUUGUUUACAUUGUAUUAGGCCAAUAUGUGUAUCAUUUUUUACAUUGACGAAAAUUGUAUACAAGACAUUGUCCCUAUAAUGUAAGCUUUUUAUAAGUUUUUUA